Molecule: long non-coding RNA, 242 nt
Filed under: Linum usitatissimum (flax)
Lineage: Eukaryota; Viridiplantae; Streptophyta; Magnoliopsida; Malpighiales; Linaceae
Description: long non-coding RNA (LUSI_LNC007402)
Source: RNAcentral
CGUCGGUUGAUGUAAGAUUGUGGAUCCUCUAACUUAUGAGAUUAAUAACUUAGAUCCCUUUUUCUCCUUUUUUGUUCUUUUUUUUUAUUUUGGGACGCAAUCUUUGAAAAUUUUGAUGACUUUUUUUUAAUUUUUUUUGUUAUAGCUUCAACUGUUCCUUGCUAAUAGUCGUCAAUAUUGAGCUGACCUAGAUUAACAUGCAUACUAGGUUAUUGCAUCAAGCUAUUAACUUUGAAGGGAUA